GUGAAUUGGGAUCCAGAAUUUCAUAUUUUUGAUAAUCUACUAUUCCUCUAGUUUAGUAUCUUGUACUUGCAGUUCUGCUGAUGCAAAUGGCAUAGUUUGGAUCGUAGAAAAGGAAUUGGUUGAUUAUAGGAUUCUGUUAGUAUAUUGUAUUAUUUAGAAGAAAUAUCACAAAACAAUAGUGAUAUUUCAAAUAGAAUAAUAGCAUGUGGCAGCUUGUGGUGAAGGGAAUGUGAAAAAUAAUAUUUAAGUAACAUGUUUUUGGCUGAAUGUUAUGUUGCCAUUUGCAGUCUUUGAAUUUGACGUCAUUUUCCCUUCCUAAACUUAUAAUACACUUGUUUUCCAAUAUAAAGGACAAUCAAGGGAAAAUAGGGG
RNAcentral lists this unclassified non-coding RNA (372 nucleotides) under Hevea brasiliensis (rubber tree). The record is from RNAcentral. Lineage: Eukaryota; Viridiplantae; Streptophyta; Magnoliopsida; Malpighiales; Euphorbiaceae.